UUUUUUUGAGAGUUUGAUCCUGGCUCAGGACGAACGCUGGCGGCGUGCCUGACACAUGCAAGUCGUACGGUUCAUGUAUCUUGCAAGCUUGCUUGUUUGUACAUGGAUAGUGGCGGACGGGUGAGUAACGCGUGAAUAUCUAUCCAUUGGAGGGGGACAACCCGUCGAAAGGCGGGCUAAUACCGCGUAGGCCAUUUUUUUGGUGAAAGGUCACAUAUUGUGGCUGCCGAUGGAUGAGUUUCCGUCCUAUCAGCUUGUUGGUGGGGUAAGGGCCUACCAAGGCUAAGACGGGUAGCCGGUCUGAGAGGAUGGCCGGUCACACUGGAACUGAGAUACGGUAGAGACUCCUACGGGAGGCAGCAGUGGGGAAUCUUGGGCAAUGGGGGUAACCCUGACCCAGCGACGCCGCGUGAGGGAUGAAUGUUUUCGGAUUGUAAACCUCUGUUGUACGGGAAGAAGAGCGUGACGGUACCGUACGAGUAAGCCCCGGCAAACUACGUGCCAGCAGCCGCGG
This 514-nucleotide ribosomal RNA is filed under the name Thermovirga sp. RNAcentral describes it as "bacterial SSU rRNA". It matches the Rfam family "Bacterial small subunit ribosomal RNA", at positions 1 to 520 of the family's 1533-position model. The record is from RNAcentral. Lineage: Bacteria; Thermotogati; Synergistota; Synergistia; Synergistales; Thermovirgaceae.